CAUGAAGCUGGAAUCGCUAGUAAUCGCAGAUCAGAAUGCUGCGGUGAAUACGUUCCCGGGUCUUGUACACACCGCCCGUCACACCAUGGGAGCCGGGAAUGCCCGAAGUCGGUGACCCAACCGUAAGGAGGGAGCCGCCGAAGGCAGGCCUGGUAACUGGGGUGAAGUCGUAACAAGGUAGC
This 182-nucleotide ribosomal RNA is filed under the name uncultured bacterium. Its description in RNAcentral is "partial 16S ribosomal RNA". It matches the Rfam family "Bacterial small subunit ribosomal RNA", at positions 1319 to 1500 of the family's 1533-position model. The record is from RNAcentral.